CGAAACUUAAACAAACUCUUCAUUCAAGAAGCAGAGCAAACCGUCAACUCAAUAUAGCAGAGAAUCAAACAAUCAUCUGAAGGAGGCGAGAACAAUAAUGGUGCUAGAGGUGCUCAACCUAUUCACACCAUGAGAGACUAUGCCAUGCCAUCAUUGAAAGACACAAGUCCGAGCAUUUUGAGACAUGUUGUUCAAGCUUAACAACUUUGAGAUCAAGCCAGCAAUAUCUAUAGUUGAUCCAACAGACUUGUCAAUUUGGAGGAUUGCCUAGUGAAGAUCCACACCAAC
Molecule: long non-coding RNA, 288 nt
Filed under: Carica papaya (papaya)
Lineage: Eukaryota; Viridiplantae; Streptophyta; Magnoliopsida; Brassicales; Caricaceae
Description: long non-coding RNA (CPAP_LNC004160)
Source: RNAcentral